UUGAAACAUUGGUUCCCGUACGAUCACUGAAGUUAGGCAACGUCGAGCCUGAUCAGUACCUAGAUGGGUGACCGCUUAGGAAUACCGGGUGUUGUA
Non-coding RNA from Acanthosepion pharaonis, 96 nucleotides. NCBI's taxonomy places the organism in Eukaryota, Metazoa, Mollusca, Cephalopoda, Sepiida, Sepiidae. The record is from the annotation of a GenBank genome assembly.